Suricata suricatta (meerkat) is the source of this 1167-nucleotide long non-coding RNA. RefSeq lists it as uncharacterized. The transcript has 2 exons. Lineage: Eukaryota; Metazoa; Chordata; Mammalia; Carnivora; Herpestidae. The record is from RefSeq and is a predicted model, not a curated record.
CGUGUUGUUUAUGACAGCAGAGGACAGGAAGCGGCCCGGACGUCCGCCCGCCGGGCUCGCGGUGGUGGUCUUCCUCCGCGCAUCACCGAGAAAACCGUUAGCCUAACGAUACGGAUAGUCCGACCCCUUCAGCCCCACCCAGCGGUCGGACCCGAUGAUGCCACCACGGUCCUCGCCCCUCGCCGUCCCCCACGAGAUCUCCAAGCUGCUCGCCGCUUACAGAAGGCAAACCCAGGCUCUGAGAGCUGAUGUAAUUGGCCCCGAAUUGAACACCCACCCCAGGUCCCACCAGGAUGUGGACUCGCGUAUGUGGAGACCCUGGGACCCUCUCCCAACCAUCGUCCUCAGCAAUCAGGCUGUGGCCCUGCCUUCUCCGAGGUGGUGGUAAGGGGGGCUUGGUGCUGGGGGCCCCUCGGGGUGAGGGGGAGUCUGCAGGCCCGCGAGGAGCUGCGAACACAGGAGCUGGAGCUCCAGUGAAGAUCACUCAGGGGGGGGGAUCGACGGGCAUGUGGUCACGCACACAGACCGCAUGACAACAGGGCACGUGACUUGGGUGGGCGCGUGGUGGCCUGUCCCGGGAGAGACGGGGCAGGGGAGGCUUGCCCCCCAGCUGGCACCCGCUCCAUGGACUCAGGGGGCCCCGCGUCAGAAGGACUGCAGGCAAGGAACUCUGCCCUUCUGGCUUUUAAGGGUGCGAUUUCUGCUUUAUUAUUAAGAAAUCUCAUUUCUAUGCGUGUGCGCACACGUAUGCGUGUGAGUGUGCGUGUGUGUAUUUUGUUAAAGGAUUUGGACCCUGUUCUCCCGAGUCUCACCCGUUUACUGAUCUUGGAGGAGACUUCAAGGGUUAGAGCGCAGACCUUCUCUGCACCCUGCUGAGUCGCCGGCGCUGAGCCCCAGUCUGUACCGCAGGGUCCAUGAAAGCGCCCGCGCCUUGGGGACGUUGGGAGGAGUGUGUGGCCUGUCCUGGGCCGGCGCCGGCAGGAGCUCGGGGGCCCUGAGCUGCAGCUACGUCCUCCCUGCUCGGUCUAACCGCGUUCUCCCGUCGGGGAAGGGACGGGGAUGCAGGGCGGGCACGCGCACGGCGGUAAACGCACCGUCCGCGCAAAAGCACUGACUCAGCAAAGUGUCUUGCAUGAAAUAUAAGACUACUCUUUAGGGAAGAGUUCA